RNAcentral lists this long non-coding RNA (326 nucleotides) under Homo sapiens (human). RNAcentral's name for it is "HSALNT0398101". The record is from RNAcentral. Lineage: Eukaryota; Metazoa; Chordata; Mammalia; Primates; Hominidae.
GUCUUAUCAUCUAUCUUAGGCUUUAUGUUCCUUGGGGUAGAAACCUUGCCUUCUUCAUUUCUGUAUCGUUCAUGAACAUAUGAGUUGGUCAUCAGGAAAAGGUUCUCAAUCACAUGUAGGUUGUGUUCUGAGUCUCAGGUUUACAUAUUAAUGCUAGAGUCAUUGUUCUCCAGGAGGUCAGAGGUUGCUUGUGAUGAAGGGUAUGGGUAAUCCCAUACUGCAGAUGGUAGAUGGGAGAUCACCCUGUUUUUAGCCAUAGCAUUGGAACUAAGCAUUCUAUGUGUAUAUCAGGUGGAGGGGAAGGGAUGUGUAGAAAGACAGAUUUA